Molecule: ribosomal RNA, 406 nt
Filed under: uncultured bacterium
Lineage: Bacteria
Description: partial 16S ribosomal RNA
Rfam family: Bacterial small subunit ribosomal RNA
Source: RNAcentral
AAUGAACGCUGGCGGCAGGCCUAACACAUGCAAGUCGAACGAGUAGCGGACGGGUGAGCAAUGUCUUGGAAACUGCCUGAUGGAGGGGGAUAACUACUGGAAACGUUAGCAACUACCGCAUACCAUACGAUGUGGCCACAGGGGAUUAGCGAGUAGGUGGGGUAAUGGCUCACCUAGGCGACGAGCCCUAGCUGGCCUGAGAGGAUGACCAGCCACACUGUAACUGAUACACGGUACAGACUCCUACGGGAGGCAGCAGUGGGGAAUAUUGCACAAUGGUCGCAAGCCUGAUGCAGCAAUGCCGCGUGGUUGAAGAAGGCUUUCGGGUUGUAAAGCACUUUCAGCGGUGAGGCGUUAUACGAAGAGGAAGCACCGGCUAACUCCGUGCCAGCAGCGGCGGUAAUUC